Molecule: non-coding RNA, 194 nt
Filed under: Bacillus sp. (in: firmicutes)
Lineage: Bacteria; Bacillati; Bacillota; Bacilli; Caryophanales; Bacillaceae
Also listed under: 1 other name
Source: RNAcentral
AAUAUUGAAUAGUGUAAGAGUGCCUUAUUUAUUAGGAUAAUAGGGAAACCGGUGCAAAUCCGGUGCAGCCCCCGCUACUGUAUACGCGGAUGAAAUGAUUUGUAAACCACCGGCUCUUUGUUUAGAGCAUGGGAAGGUAAAUCAGAGUAAAUUGAUGCGUCAGCCAGGAGACCUGCUCUUUCUUUUGUAUGUAC